RNAcentral lists this ribosomal RNA (515 nucleotides) under bacterium enrichment culture clone ALO1_GLFRUDD03FJOMX. Its description in RNAcentral is "bacterial SSU rRNA". It matches the Rfam family "Bacterial small subunit ribosomal RNA", at positions 9 to 518 of the family's 1533-position model. The record is from RNAcentral.
GAGUUUGAUCGUGGCUCAGAUUGAACGCUGGCGGCAGGCCUAACACAUGCAAGUCGAGCGGAUGACGGGAGCUUGCUCCUUGAUUCAGCGGCGGACGGGUGAGUAAUGCCUGGGAAUCUGCCUGGUGGUGGGGGACAACGUUUCGAAAGGAACGCUAAUACCGCAUACGUCCUACGGGAGAAAGCAGGGGACCUUCGGGCCUUGCGCUAUCAGAUGAGCCUAGGUCGGAUUAGCUAGUUGGUGGGGUAAUGGCUCACCAAGGCGACGAUCCGUAACUGGUCUGAGAGGAUGAUCAGUCACACUGGAACUGAGACACGGUCCAGACUCCUACGGGAGGCAGGCAGUGGGGAAUAUUGGACAAUGGGCGAAAGCCUGAUCCAGCCAUGCCGCGUGUGUGAAGAAGGUCUUCGGAUUGUAAAGCACUUUAAGUUGGGAGGAAGGGCAGUAAGUUAAUACCUUGCUGUUUUGACGUUACCGACAGAAUAAGCACCGGCUAACUCUGUGCCAGCCGCCGC